AUGCGUGUGUGUGCGGGCGGGGUCCUCAGACCCCCCCUUUUAUUUACUCUGAUGUACUUUUCAUCCUUUCCAAUAGAAGUGUGUUUCUAUUGGCCCGUUGGCUGUGUCACCGUCAGCAGUUACCAGGGACCGUCCUGCCGUCGCCUCUACCCACCACGGGACCACCACCCUCUCCUCUACCCACCACGGGACCACCACCGUCACCGUCAGCAGGUCAGAGCCCCCUCACAGCUUCACCCUUUUGAAAUAGAUCUAUCUUUAUUGAAGUGUAUUCACCCUGGAGGCCUACCUACACCAAUCGCACCAACACCACACAGCCACACUACCACGCACACAACAGACGCACGCUACCUCCCACACCUACAUCCCGUUAUAGACCCCCCAGCCUUCAGUAUAGACCCACACACACCCACCAUCACCACAAUAGACCCACACACACAUAUCAAACCACAGAACACACCAGACCCACACCAACACACCCACACACACAACCACUCAGACCACAAAGACCACCUCCACCCUCCACCCGUCCUCUCCUCCCACCACCACCAACACACACCCGGUACAUUGCACCAGAUGGCCCAACCCGUGGAAAAGUAUAUUUUAAAAUACUCCAGGCCCUGCACCACAGGGACACAGCGGACAGAGCGGUGUCCUCCCGGGAACUCCCCAGGGGGAUGUCACGACAGGUCCACAAAUGAUCCCACUUCAUCAAACCCAUCACCCACAGACACCACAUCACAAAGAAAUAAUGACAACACCAACACCUGGAUGCACAAUGACAUGUUGAUCCUAACAGAACACUACACACACACAAUAGACCAACUCACACAAACACCCCAGCCCACCAACACACUCUCACUUAAGAUCGCUACCAACUGGGCACACAAGAGAUUGGGCCACAGACUAUUACCCACCACCUUACAUCAACUAGAACACACACUACUCCAUACACCGUCCGCCCCUCACUCACCACUCAUCACCAACCCACACCCCCUCAACCUACUCCCCCCCUCCCCCAUACCGACCAGUCCCCAUACCACCCCACCUCGAGCCUGGACCUUCCCCUCACCGACACCUCCACAGCCCACACUCAGCCACACAGACCCCCCCCCCCCCUCCCUCUGCCUCCCCAACCAGCACCCACACACACCCUAG
RNAcentral lists this long non-coding RNA (1158 nucleotides) under Gadus morhua (Atlantic cod). RNAcentral describes it as "lncRNA (ENSGMOG00000030302.1)". Lineage: Eukaryota; Metazoa; Chordata; Actinopteri; Gadiformes; Gadidae. The record is from RNAcentral.